RNAcentral lists this ribosomal RNA (465 nucleotides) under uncultured Klebsiella sp. RNAcentral's name for it is "bacterial SSU rRNA". It matches the Rfam family "Bacterial small subunit ribosomal RNA", at positions 338 to 795 of the family's 1533-position model. The record is from RNAcentral. Lineage: Bacteria; Pseudomonadati; Pseudomonadota; Gammaproteobacteria; Enterobacterales; Enterobacteriaceae.
CCUACGGGGGGCAGCAGUGGGGAAUAUUGCACAAUGGGCGCAAGCCUGAUGCAGCCAUGCCGCGUGUGUGAAGAAGGCCUUCGGGUUGUAAAGCACUUUCAGCGGGGAGGAAGGCGGUGAGGUUAAUAACCUCAUCGAUUGACGUUACCCGCAGAAGAAACACCGGCUAACUCCGUGCCAGCAGCCGCGGUAAUACGGAGGGUGCAAGCGUUAAUCGGAAUUACUGGGCGUAAAGCGCACGCAGGCGGUCUGUCAAGUCGGAUGUGAAAUCCCCGGGCUCAACCUGGGAACUGCAUUCGAAACUGGCAGGCUAGAGUCUUGUAGAGGGGGGUAGAAUUCCAGGUGUAGCGGUGAAAUGCGUAGAGAUCUGGAGGAAUACCGGUGGCGAAGGCGGCCCCCUGGACAAAGACUGACGCUCAGGUGCGAAAGCGUGGGGAGCAAACAGGAUUAGAUACCCGAGUAGUC